RNAcentral lists this ribosomal RNA (581 nucleotides) under Enterobacter sp. Its description in RNAcentral is "bacterial SSU rRNA". It matches the Rfam family "Bacterial small subunit ribosomal RNA", at positions 93 to 670 of the family's 1533-position model. Lineage: Bacteria; Pseudomonadati; Pseudomonadota; Gammaproteobacteria; Enterobacterales; Enterobacteriaceae. The record is from RNAcentral.
GAGUGGCGGACGGGUGAGUAAUGUCUGGGAAACUGCCUGAUGGAGGGGGAUAACUACUGGAAACGGUAGCUAAUACCGCAUAACGUCGCAAGACCAAAGAGGGGGACCUUCGGGCCUCUUGCCAUCAGAUGUGCCCAGAUGGGAUUAGCUAGUAGGUGGGGUAACGGCUCACCUAGGCGACGAUCCCUAGCUGGUCUGAGAGGAUGACCAGCCACACUGGAACUGAGACACGGUCCAGACUCCUACGGGAGGCAGCAGUGGGGAAUAUUGCACAAUGGGCGCAAGCCUGAUGCAGCCAUGCCGCGUGUAUGAAGAAGGCCUUCGGGUUGUAAAGUACUUUCAGCGGGGAGGAAGGUGUUGUGGUUAAUAACCGCAGCAAUUGACGUUACCCGCAGAAGAAGCACCGGCUAACUCCGUGCCAGCAGCCGCGGUAAUACGGAGGGUGCAAGCGUUAAUCGGAAUUACUGGGCGUAAAGCGCACGCAGGCGGUCUGUCAAGUCGGAUGUGAAAUCCCCGGGCUCAACCUGGGAACUGCAUUCGAAACUGGCAGGCUAGAGUCUUGUAGAGGGGGGUAGAAUUCC